GACGAACGCUGGCGGCGUGCUUAACACAUGCCAGUCGAACGGAAAGGCCCUGCUUUUGUGGGGUGCUCGAGUGGCGAACGGGUGAGUAACACGUGAGUAACCUGCCCUUGACUUUGGGAUAACUUCAGGAAACUGGGGCUAAUACCGGAUAGGAGCUCCUGCUGCAUGGUGGGGGUUGGAAAGUUUCGGCGGUUGGGGAUGGACUCGCGGCUUAUCAGCUUGUUGGUGGGGUAGUGGCUUACCAAGGCUUUGACGGGUAGCCGGCCUGAGAGGGUGACCGGCCAAAUGGGGAGGGGGAGAGGGCCAGGAUCCCUAGGGGGGGAAGGGGGGGGGAAUUUUGCAAAAGGGGGGGAAGCCGGAGGGAGCAACGCCGGGGGGGGGAGGGGGGCCGUGGGGUGGGAAACCGCUUUCGCCUGGGACGAAGGGGGGGGGGGGGAAAUGGGUAAAGAAGCACGGGCAAACUAGGG
This 467-nucleotide ribosomal RNA is filed under the name uncultured bacterium. RNAcentral's name for it is "partial 16S ribosomal RNA". It matches the Rfam family "Bacterial small subunit ribosomal RNA", at positions 28 to 506 of the family's 1533-position model. The record is from RNAcentral.